Molecule: ribosomal RNA, 540 nt
Filed under: uncultured archaeon
Lineage: Archaea
Description: bacterial SSU rRNA
Rfam family: Archaeal small subunit ribosomal RNA
Source: RNAcentral
CAUUGGGGCGCAGCAGGCGAGAAAACUUUGCAAUGUGCGAAAGCACGACAAGGUUAAUCCGAGUGGUUUCUGCUAAAGAAACCUUUUGUCAGUCCUAGAUACACUGAUGAAUAAGGGGUGGGCAAGUUCUGGUGUCAGCCGCCGCGGUAAAACCAGCACCUCAAGUGGUCAGGAUGAUUAUUGGGCCUAAAGCAUCCGUAGCCGGCUCUGUAAGUUUUCGGUUAAAUCUGUACGCUCAACGUACAGGCUGCCGGGAAUACUGCAGAGCUAGGGAGUGGGAGAGGUAGACGGUACUCGGUAGGAAGGGGUAAAAUCCUUUGAUCUAUUGAUGACCACCUGUGGCGAAGGCGGUCUACCAGAACACGUCCGACGGUGAGGGAUGAAAGCUGGGGGAGCAAACCGGAUUAGAUACCCGGGUAGUCCCAGCUGUAAACUAUGCAAACUCAGUGAUGCAUUGGCUUGUGGCCAAUGCAGUGCUGCAGGGAAGCCGUUAAGUUUGCCGCCUGGGAAGUACGUACGCAAGUAUGAAACUCAAAUGAA